AGUACACUUUGAAGAUAAGAAAUGAUAUGUUUCAGAUGCGUAUCGGGGCAAGCAAUCAAGGCAUCAAAAUUAUUCUAUUUUUCUUAAGCUGUAGUUUUAUUUAGAAAUUCAUAUUGAGUUUAAGCUUUUAUACAAAAUCAGAUUCUGAAUUUCAUAAAGAUUCUCAAGAAGGCUUUCAAAGUUGUAAUUUGAGAUAUGUAUCUUCACAUUGUAGCUCAUCUUAAAUCAUUACGAUUGAAAACACAUAUUUCAAACAUAUAAGAGCAUAUUCAGAAUAUUUGUAUUUAUGUUGAGUUUUGGUAUGAAUUAUAUACCAAAGUUAGGCAAGUUGAAGGAUAAAAUAAAAUCAAUUCAUUUUGCCUAAAUAGAGAUAUCCUUCUCUUCUCCUUUUUACAAAUUUAUUCAACUUUCAGAUUUUAAAGAUGAUUGGAGCAUUACAAAAUAUUGAGAACCCAUAAUUUAAGACAUCAUGCCAUAUGCAAAAUAUAUUAUGUGUUAAGUUAUGCAUUAAAAUAUUAAGAGCAAGCAUGUCAAUGAUCAAAAUCAAUUCUUUUCAAAUAAACUCCUCCUAUUUAAAUAUAAUCUUGCACUGAUUUCAACCUUAAAGUGUGUUUUCAAGUGAUUAAAAAUUUGACUUGAUUCUUCUUAUAUACUUUCAUUUUUACCUUCUUAUGCUCUAUACUCUAUUUGCUCCCUAUCCGGUGGAGUUGGAAGGGGCACGAGGUACUACCACUAGCCUCCCUCUUGUGCCGUUCCUAAUAUACCCUACACCGAAUAGUUGGGUCAAAUAGUGCCGGGUACUACCACUAGCCUCCCCAUUGGCACCAUCCCUAUGAUGAGCAAUAUAGAAAUGUUAAAAUGUUCACUUCAAACUCUCCCUGUUUAAGUGUAAUUAAUUACGGAUUUUAUCCCUUUCACUAGUCUC
RNAcentral lists this long non-coding RNA (925 nucleotides) under Phoenix dactylifera (date palm). Its description in RNAcentral is "long non-coding RNA (PDAC_LNC015614)". The record is from RNAcentral. Lineage: Eukaryota; Viridiplantae; Streptophyta; Magnoliopsida; Arecales; Arecaceae.